AUACGGAGGAUGCGAGCGUUAUCCGGAUUUAUUGGGUUUAAAGGGAGCGUAGGUGGGAUAUUAAGUCAGCGGUGAAAGUUUGGGGCUCAACCUUAAAAUUGCAGUUGAUACUGGUUUCCUUGAGUACGGUAUAGGUGGGCGGAAUUCGUGGUGUAGCGGUGAAAUGCUUAGAUAUCACGAAGAACUCCGAUUGCGAAGGCAGCUCACUAGACUGUUACUGACACUGAUGCUCGAAAGUGUGGGUAUCAAACAGGAUUAGAUACCCUGGUAGUCCACACAGUAAACGAUGAAUACUCGCUGUUUGCGAUAUACAGUAAGCGGCCAAGCGAAAGCAUUAAGUAUUCCACCUGGGGAGUACGCCGGCAACGGUGAAACUUAAAGGAAUUGGCGGGG
Molecule: ribosomal RNA, 393 nt
Filed under: uncultured bacterium
Lineage: Bacteria
Description: partial 16S ribosomal RNA
Rfam family: Bacterial small subunit ribosomal RNA
Source: RNAcentral